ACGGAGGGUGCGAGCGUUAAUCGGAAUUACUGGGCGUAAAGCGCGCGUAGGCGGCUGGGUAAGUCGGAUGUGAAAGCCCUGGGCUUAACCUGGGAAUGGCAUUCGAUACUGCCCGACUAGAGUAUGGUAGAGGAAAGCGGAAUUCCCGGUGUAGCGGUGAAAUGCGUAGAUAUCGGGAGGAACAUCAGUGGCGAAGGCGGCUUUCUGGACCAAUACUGACGCUGAGGCGCGAAAGCGUGGGUAGCAAACAGG
RNAcentral lists this ribosomal RNA (252 nucleotides) under uncultured bacterium. RNAcentral describes it as "partial 16S ribosomal RNA". It matches the Rfam family "Bacterial small subunit ribosomal RNA", at positions 525 to 776 of the family's 1533-position model. The record is from RNAcentral.